This 562-nucleotide long non-coding RNA is filed under the name Nicotiana benthamiana. RNAcentral describes it as "long non-coding RNA (NBEN_LNC002412)". The record is from RNAcentral. Lineage: Eukaryota; Viridiplantae; Streptophyta; Magnoliopsida; Solanales; Solanaceae.
CCUCACUGGAAUUAUAAACUGCUGGCUUCUCUGCUGGUAUAAUGUACGAGUCUGUUUGAUCCCUGUGCAGUGUUUCCAAAUUUCUUAUUGCUUGAUCAGGCAUCGAUGAAUUGCCAAUCGUCUUAGACUGCUGCUUUUCAGUUAACUGCACAGUUUUCAAGUUGAUUAUCGUAUUUCCAGUUACUGCAUUUCCAGAUACUUGCUGCAGAUUGCCACUGUAUUGAUUUCCCUCGCAUCCAGACGUCUGCUCACAUUGACUGCUAAGCAUAUUGUUCUGUAUUACCUUAAUGUUACAUAUUUUUUAUGCUAACUUUUCUUCAUCGAUCUUACCUUGCAGACUCAAUCGAACAGUAGUCUGUUUGGUUAAGCCAGCAUCGCCCCCUAUAUUUAACACAGAAUAUUGGAAUGUAACAGGUGACACAGCUUGCUGCUGCAGCUGCUGUUCAUCCUCUUCAAACAGUUGCUCAGUCUGUUCAUUAUCAUGAGCCGAUGAUUGUUUUGAUUCAGUGCAGCCUUCAUUAUGACGAGCCUGAAUUAAUACUUUAGAAUUAUCCAGAUUAUG